GCAUAUCAAUAAGCGGAGGAAAAGAAACCAACAGGGAUUGCCUCAGUAACGGCGAGUGAAGCGGCAACAGCUCAAAUUUGAAAUCUGGCCCUUUCAGGGUCCGAGUUGUAAUUUGUAGAAGAUGCUUCGGGUGUGGCUCCGGUCUAAGUUCCUUGGAACAGGACGUCAUAGAGGGUGAGAAUCCCGUCUGUGACCGGUCGCCUUCGCCCAUGUGAAGCUCUUUCGACGAGUCGAGUUGUUUGGGAAUGCAGCUCAAAAUGGGUGGUAAAUUUCAUCUAAAGCUAAAUAUUGGCCAGAGACCGAUAGCGCACAAGUAGAGUGAUCGAAAGAUGAAAAGCACUUUGGAAAGAGAGUUAAACAGUACGUGAAAUUGUUGAAAGGGAAGCGCUUGCAACCAGACUUGCGCGCGGUCGAUCAUCCGGUGUUCUCACCGGUGCACUCGGCCGCGCUCAGGCCAGCAUCGGUCUGGGUGGUUGGAUAAAGGCCUGGGGAAUGUGGCUCCUCUCGGGGAGUGUUAUAGCCCCAGGUGCAAUGCAGCCUACCUGGACCGAGGACCGCGCUUCGGCUAGGAUGCUGGCGUAAUGGUUGUAAGCGACCCGUCUUGAAACACGGACC
Molecule: ribosomal RNA, 615 nt
Filed under: Amorphotheca resinae (creosote fungus)
Lineage: Eukaryota; Fungi; Ascomycota; Leotiomycetes; Helotiales; Amorphothecaceae
Description: eukaryotic LSU rRNA
Rfam family: Eukaryotic large subunit ribosomal RNA
Source: RNAcentral